UGAAAAGAGCAAAGUGCUGAAUGAGGGCACGUUUCUGAUUUCAGUGUGAGAUGACGGAGAAGCUCGGGUCCAAACUGCAGCAGAAGGUUUGUUGGUGUGAAACUCAACAUGAGGCUCUGUGAUGAACGGAAGGUCAAGCGGACGGCAAAGUCUGUGGCCUCCAGCUGCUCCAGGAUCAUCUUCAGCCUCCGACACCGGCCUGCACAUGAUGACAAAAAGACCAGCCGAGUGGAGUUUCCAACAGCCAUUUACCUGCUGAUGAAACAGAAUCAACAGCUGAUCGAUUUCAACCUCAACCUGGAACCUUCGGUCACAAAACUUGUGUGCGUGAGGACGAGCAGUAAGGAUAUCCCUCCGUGUUUCUAGACUCCAGCCUGACUGUUACAGUUAUGAUGCCGUCUAGAGGAAUGAACCCCUGUGGAGUGACCUCUAGAUGGGAAACCUCAGACCUCAUUAUUCCAGUCGUGAGGUGAGAAAUCUCUCCUACAAGUUGGACAUCAGCAGCACUUCAUGUGAUGAAGGUUGUUUCAACUCCGGAAAUGAAAAUCAAUCAACAAAUUGUAAUCAUGUCUGAAUUGGUUAGUUUACAUUGGUAC
Long non-coding RNA from Sebastes umbrosus (honeycomb rockfish), 596 nucleotides. RefSeq lists it as uncharacterized. Lineage: Eukaryota; Metazoa; Chordata; Actinopteri; Perciformes; Sebastidae. The record is from RefSeq and is a predicted model, not a curated record. The transcript is spliced from 5 exons.